RNAcentral lists this ribosomal RNA (406 nucleotides) under uncultured bacterium. Its description in RNAcentral is "partial 16S ribosomal RNA". It matches the Rfam family "Bacterial small subunit ribosomal RNA", at positions 29 to 525 of the family's 1533-position model. The record is from RNAcentral.
AUUGAACGCUGGCGGCAGGCCUAACACAUGCAAGUCGAACGAGUGGCGGACGGGUGAGUAAUGUCUGGGAAACUGCCUGAUGGCGGGGGAUAACUACUGGAAACGGUAGCUAAUACCGCAUACCAUCAGAUGUGCCCAGAUGGGAUUAGCUUGUUGGUGGGGUAACGGCUCACCAAGGCGACGAUCCCUAGCUGGUCUGAGAGGAUGACCAGCCACACUGGAACUGAGACACGGGCCAGACUCCUACGGGAGGCAGCAGGGGGGAAAAUUGGACAAUGGGGGCAAUCCUGAUGCAGCCAUGCCGCGGGGUUGAAGAAGGCCUUCGGGUUUUAAAGGACGUUCAGCGGGGAGGCGGUACCCGCAGAAGAAGCACCGGCUAACUCCGUGCCAGCAGCCGCGGUAAUUA